This 293-nucleotide ribosomal RNA is filed under the name uncultured bacterium. RNAcentral describes it as "partial 16S ribosomal RNA". It matches the Rfam family "Archaeal small subunit ribosomal RNA", at positions 455 to 747 of the family's 1478-position model. The record is from RNAcentral.
GUGCCGGCCGCCGCGGUAAUACCGGCAGCACGAGUGAUGGCCGAUUUUAUUGGGCCUAAAGCGUCCGUAGCUUGCUGUGUAAGUCCAUUGGGAAAUCCACGCGCUCAACGCGUGGGCGUCCGGUGGAAACUGCACGGCUUGGGGCCGAGAGACUCGACGGGUACGUCCGGGGUAGGAGUGAAAUCCUAUAAUCCUGGACGGACCACCAAUGGGGAAACCACGUCGAGAGACCGGACCCGACAGUGAGGGACGAAAGCCAGGGUCUCGAACCGGAUUAGAAACCCGAGUAGUCC